UUCCAUGGUGUAUCAUAUCCACCCUUCCCACAGCUGAGCUAGUAGGGCUGUGCUUUCUGAGAGGAAUUCAACAGAAAAACGUUCCAUCUUUUGUCCCCUGGAAGAAGCACCAGUUUUUGGAGCAAUCUGUCUUCAAAUGUUUCUGUGAAAUUUUCCUUUUAGUUCUUGAUCCUGCUCAGACACAUCAGACCGAUACAAAACCCCCUGAGUAACGUCACCAGCCUCAGCAGAAUGUCUAAACUCUCUAAACUCCAACUUUGCGUUAUCACACCAUAACUACAUUAAAAUUAUGAACAUGAUGAUGGCAGGUUCUAGGUCACUGGCUUUCAAUCUUCCUGCUUAGGGCUGACCAUAGCAUUUGUCUGUAUUUUCUUGUCUCAGGGACUCCGUGUUUCCUUAAGGGACCAAGCUCUUGCUCUCCACAGCUCCUUGGAGCUGAAGGUGCUCGCCCACACUGAGUGAGACACUGUUACGUUUCUAUUUGCAGAUAUGCUGCUGUGAUGGAAAUUUCUGUUCCAACACACUUCCACACCGAGAGAAAUAGAGGAAAAAGAAAAGAAAAAGGAGUCAAAAGCCAGAAGGCCUCAUUUAAAUGCCAGUGUGGCAACCAAAGAGUGCAAGCAUGGAAAUGUCUGAGAUAGACAAUGGAAAGCAAUACAUAAAAUCCAAGACAAGCGAUCAUAGAUGGCCCUGCUGGGAAAGCAGAUCCAGGGAAUUGGAUGGAGGUGGAAGGUCACUCCUAACACAUUAAAUACAACAGCCAAAGCAGAUCCUGAUGUCACCCUGAUACUGAGAUGGAAAAGUCACCUGCUUAAAAUCAUUGAAAAGGAAAAGAAGGAGCAGGAGGACAGGUGGGUAGGUGUGUUGGUAACUCUGUUAAACACAGUUUAAAAAACCCCAAAACGCAGUAGUUAUUAACCAGAUAUUUGAGGAGGCACAGCCACAGCUCUCUGCAGAACAUUUACAAAGUGCUUGACAAAUGGAAAGCUGGAUCUUUUUCAGCAAGUGCCGUGGGUGCUGUGCAGCCAGACCUGGAGCACCAGGGCCAUCCAUCUGCCUCAGGAGUCCUGCUUCCAUCCUUGGAGUGUGCAUCCUUCCAUCCUCCAGUGUGCACCGGCACUUCAGAUUGAGGUGCAGACCGGCUCCAGACGCUGCACAUGGAAGGCAAGGAGAGCUGGGAGCCGAGAGAGGAGCGGUUUCUCCUGGAACACCGGGAGCCCUUCCAUGGCAGCAGCUCAUUCCCAGCCCCUGCCCCACUCUCUGCUCCCAAAGGUCACCGGGAACUCGCCCAAGGCCCGGGGGGCUCGGCAGGGCUUUCCCACCUGGGCCGAGUGCCACAGGAGGGGCCCCUGCAGGAUUUCUGUCUCGGUCGGGUUCCAGCAGCUCAGACUGGCUCCUGCAUCCAGCAGGGAUUGGGUGGGGAUUUGGUUGGGGCUUUUUGUUUGCUGGUUUGGCUUUUAGUUAUUUAGAGAGUGCUUUGAGGGUCAGUUUUGCUGCUUCAUCAGCUUCACCCCCUGCCCAGCUGCCUGUUGUGUGCAUGGAAGGGUUCAGUCUGCAUUUCCCUUCUUCUGCACCCCUACUUUAUUAUUUUAGGCUCUUUAUUUUCAUUUUUCUCUUUUCCUUUUGACUGUUUUUUCCCCCUUUCAUUCCCCCUUUUUUAAUAUUUAUUUUCUGCUGUGGGUUUUUUUCCCCCCCCCCCUCUUCUCUCACGUGACCUCGGUGCUUUCCUGUCUUUUUGUAAAUUUUUCUUUUUUCUUUUUUUUUAAUUUCUUUUUUCUUCUCCUGCUCAGAAGCCCCUGGGGCAGCUGCACAGCCGGGGCCACUCCUGGCUGUCAGAGAAGCCGGGAGCUGACUGCUCUACGGGAUUUGUUUGCUCCCAGGUCUGCGGCUCGGGGCUCUCUCUCAUCGUGUUUUAUCAAAUAAAGUUCGUGUGGCAUUC
Non-coding RNA from Cyanistes caeruleus (blue tit), 1939 nucleotides. The record is from RefSeq and is a predicted model, not a curated record. Lineage: Eukaryota; Metazoa; Chordata; Aves; Passeriformes; Paridae.